CUACAGCCAGUUAAGCUGUAGAUUAAGGUUUCUGAUGGAGGCCUGGUAUGCAGGGGCUGCGAACAGCAGCGUCCUUGAUAGUACUUGCUGCUGCCUGUCACCUGUACAGGCUGCCCUAAGGGACCUUGGAGACAGUU
This is a small nucleolar RNA of Peromyscus maniculatus bairdii (prairie deer mouse), 137 nucleotides long. Its record names the gene SNORA70. It matches the Rfam family "Small nucleolar RNA SNORA70". Rfam says of the family: snoRNA U70 seems to be exclusive to mammals and is a member of the H/ACA class of snoRNA which contain H (ANANNA) and ACA box motifs. H/ACA box snoRNAs are involved in the conversion of uridines to pseudouridines (5-ribosyluracil) a constituent of structural RNAs (transfer, ribosomal, small nuclear, and small nucleolar). The record is from Ensembl. NCBI's taxonomy places the organism in Eukaryota, Metazoa, Chordata, Mammalia, Rodentia, Cricetidae.